CUUCCGGUGACGCACACGCUUCCGGGUUCUCAUUCAUGCUUUCUCCUAGUUUUAGUAGAGUACGCUGGUGGUAACCGUGUUGAGAGCCCUCCCUCCAUAAGCUUCGGGUAGUAGCUGGGGAAGCCCCCUACCGGCCAAUUCGGUUCCCGCAGGCAUUGACUGACUGGAGCUGACGGCUGCCUUGAACGUAUCUGGGUGCCCCCCUGGUGGUGGGAUCUGUUUUUGUGCCGUGACUGACGGCAUAAUACUCCGUGUGGCACUUAGAGGGUGUGUGUGCGCGCGUGCUGGUGACGGGUACCAAGUAUUCACGUGUGCGUUGGUGAUUUUCAGCCUUUCUUCAAGCACCCCAUUCGCCACGGAUAAGCCGCAGCUCCCAGUUCAUUUUACACUUUUAUGCGAUCGUUUUAU
Archocentrus centrarchus (flier cichlid) is the source of this 408-nucleotide long non-coding RNA. RefSeq lists it as uncharacterized. The transcript has 4 exons. Lineage: Eukaryota; Metazoa; Chordata; Actinopteri; Cichliformes; Cichlidae. The record is from RefSeq and is a predicted model, not a curated record.